This 274-nucleotide ribosomal RNA is filed under the name uncultured bacterium. RNAcentral's name for it is "partial 16S ribosomal RNA". It matches the Rfam family "Bacterial small subunit ribosomal RNA", at positions 523 to 796 of the family's 1533-position model. The record is from RNAcentral.
AUACGGAGGGUGCAAGCGUUAAUCGGAAUUACUGGGCGUAAAGCGUACGUAGGCGGUUCGUUAAGUUAGAUGUGAAAGCCCCGGGCUUAACCUGGGAACUGCAUUUAAAACUGGCGGACUAGAGUUGAGUAGAGGGGAGUGGAAUUUCAGGUGUAGCGGUGAAAUGCGUAGAGAUCUGAAGGAACACCAGUGGCGAAGGCGACUCCCUGGACUCGAACUGACGCUGAGGUACGAAAGCGUGGGUAGCAAACAGGAUUAGAAACCCUAGUAGUCC